CCGACAACCGCAGCUCCCAUUGCAACUGCAGCCCCGACAACCGCAGCUCCCAUUGCAACUGCAGCCCCAACAACCGCAGCUCCUAUUGCAACUGCAGCACCGACAGCCGCAGCUCCCAUUGCAACUGCAGCCCCGACAACCGCAGCUCCCAUUGCAACUGCAGCCCCGACAACCGCAGCUCCUAUUGUUCCAGCCACUAGUAUCGCUCAAACCACUAGCACCAGAGCACCUACUGCACGUCCAACAGCCACUGUUCCAUCUACCACAGCCUCUACAAAUCCACCAUCAGGAGAUGAGGGCGUCCUACGCCUGAAUUUCAGGCUGUUUAGAACCUUUACAGAACCAUUGGCAAACCAGAGCUCCACUGAAUUCAAGCAGCUAUCACAGAAUGUCACCACGGAGUUGAAUCGUGUGUACGGGAAUGCCUUUGGGCGAAGAUACCGCCGGAGUAAUGUCGCAAGUUUCAGCCGUGGACCUUCUUUCCCCCGAGCAGAUACUGUACAGGUGGAGACAAACCUGAUCUUCCAGAACGAAACUGUUGUUCCAAACGCUACCCAGGCAGCAACAGUCCUCAGGCAGGCUAUUAAUAAUUCAACCACCUUUCUAGACGCUGUUCCAGGCAGCAUUAAUGCAGAAAAUCCGAACACUACCACAACAACAACUAUCAGCGCUACAACAAGCGGUGCCAUGGCAACAAACAAACCCCAGGAAGUCGUCACUUUUCUGUUUCCUCUUAUUCUGGUCAUUUACUCUCUGUCAACAGACAUGAAGCUGCCUCAUUUUUAGCCAGAGAAAUACGAGCCUUUAUGAUUUUGUACCCUUGGUGCUACUCUGUGAUGGCUAAUUUGAUUUCUGGAAGAGUGCCUCUCUAGAUUAACAUUCAGCUUGCUCGUUAUGAUCAUCACUUGUACUACAAGGAAAAGAGCUUUCAAACUUGGAAGCCAGAUGGAUAUACAAAUUAAACUGCUCCUUCACCCA
This is a long non-coding RNA of Anguilla rostrata (American eel), 978 nucleotides long. RefSeq lists it as uncharacterized. NCBI's taxonomy places the organism in Eukaryota, Metazoa, Chordata, Actinopteri, Anguilliformes, Anguillidae. The transcript is spliced from 5 exons. The record is from RefSeq and is a predicted model, not a curated record.